This 301-nucleotide ribosomal RNA is filed under the name uncultured bacterium. RNAcentral describes it as "partial 16S ribosomal RNA". It matches the Rfam family "Bacterial small subunit ribosomal RNA", at positions 509 to 809 of the family's 1533-position model. The record is from RNAcentral.
CAGUCGCCGCGGGAAUACGUAGGGUGCAAGCGUUAAUCGGAAUUACUGGGCGUAAAGCGUGCGCAGGCGGUUAUAUAAGACAGAUGUGAAAUCCCCGGGCUCAACCUGGGAACUGCAUUUGUGACUGUAUAGCUAGAGUACGGCAGAGGGGGAUGGAAUUCCGCGUGUAGCAGUGAAAUGCGUAGAUAUGCGGAGGAACACCGAUGGCGAAGGCAAUCCCCUGGGCCUGUACUGACGCUCAUGCACGAAAGCGUGGGGAGCAAACAGGAUUAGAGACCCGCGUAGUCCCUGUCUCUUAUAA